This 749-nucleotide ribosomal RNA is filed under the name uncultured Bacillota bacterium. RNAcentral's name for it is "bacterial SSU rRNA". It matches the Rfam family "Bacterial small subunit ribosomal RNA", at positions 8 to 740 of the family's 1533-position model. The record is from RNAcentral. Lineage: Bacteria; Bacillati; Bacillota.
AGAGUGGAUCCUGGGCUCAGGACGAACGCUGGCGGCGUGCCUAAUACAUGCAAGUCGAGCGGACAGAUGGGAGCUUGCCCCCUGAAGUCAGCGGCGGACGGGUGAGUAACACGUGGGCAACCUGCCUAUAAGACUGGGAUAACUUCGGGAAACCGGAGCUAAUACCGGAUAAUACCGAGGACCUCAUGGUCCUUGGUUGAAAGAUGGCUUCGGCUAUCACUUAUAGAUGGGCCCGCGGCGCAUUAGCUAGUUGGUGAGGUAAUGGCUCACCAAGGCCACGAUGCGUAGCCGACCUGAGAGGGUGAUCGGCCACACUGGGACUGAGACACGGCCCAGACUCCUACGGGAGGCAGCAGUAGGGAAUCUUCCGCAAUGGACGAAAGUCUGACGGAGCAACGCCGCGUGAACGAUGAAGGCCUUCGGGUCGUAAAGUUCCGUUGUUAGGGAAGAACAAGUACCGUUCGAAUAGGGCGGUACCUUGACGGUACCUAACCAGAAGGCCACGGCUAACUACGUGCCAGCAGCCGCGGUAAUACGUAGGUGGCAAGCGUUGUCCGGAAUUAUUGGGCGUAAAGCGCGCGCAGGCGGUUCCUUAAGUCUGAUGUGAAAGCCCACGGCUCAACCGUGGAGGGUCAUUGGAAACUGGGGAACUUGAGUGCAGAAGANGAAAGCGGAAUCCACGUGUAGCGGUGAAAUGCGUAGAGAUGUGGAGGAACACCCAGUGGCGAAGGCGGCUUUCUGGUCUGUAC